ACUACGGGUGGCAGCAGUGGGGAAUAUUGGGCAAUGGGCGCAAGCCUGACCCAGCAACGCCGCGUGAAGGAAGAAGGCUUUCGGGUUGUAAACUUCUUUUCUCAGGGACGAAGAAAGUGACGGUACCUGAGGAAUAAGCCACGGCUAACUACGUGCCAGCAGCCGCGGUAAUACGUAGGUGGCAAGCGUUAUCCGGAUUUAUUGGGUGUAAAGGGCGUGUAGGCGGGAGCGCAAGUCAGAUGUGAAAACUCAGGGCUCAACCCUGAGCCUGCAUUUGAUACUGUGUGUGUUGAGUGCUGGAGAGGCAAUCGGAAUUCCGUGUGUAGCGGUGAAAUGCGUAGAUAUACGGAGGAACACCAGUGGCGAAGGCGGAUUGCUGGACAGUAACUGACGCUGAGGCGCGAAAGCGUGGGGAGCAAACAGGAUUAGAUACCCGGGUAGUC
This 443-nucleotide ribosomal RNA is filed under the name uncultured bacterium. RNAcentral's name for it is "partial 16S ribosomal RNA". It matches the Rfam family "Bacterial small subunit ribosomal RNA", at positions 338 to 795 of the family's 1533-position model. The record is from RNAcentral.